UGGGGAAUAUUGGACAAUGGGGGCAACCCUGAUCCAGCCAUGCCGCGUGAGUGAUGAAGGCCUUCGGGUUGUAAAGCUCUUUUGGCGGGGACGAUGAUGACGGUACCCGCAGAAUAAGCCCCGGCUAACUUCGUGCCAGCAGCCGCGGUAAGACGAAGGGGGCUAGCGUUGUUCGGAAUUACUGGGCGUAAAGCGAGUGUAGGUGGUUGUCCAAGUUGGAUGUGAAAGCCUUGAGCUCAACUCAAGAAAUGCAUUCAGGACUGGGCGGCUAGAGGACCGGAGAGGAUAGUGGAAUUCCCAGUGUAGUGGUGAAAUACGUAGAGAUUGGGAAGAACACCAGUGGCGAAGGCGGCUAUCUGGACGGUUUCUGACACUAAGACUCGAAAGCGUGGGGAGCAAACA
RNAcentral lists this ribosomal RNA (402 nucleotides) under uncultured soil bacterium. Its description in RNAcentral is "bacterial SSU rRNA". It matches the Rfam family "Bacterial small subunit ribosomal RNA", at positions 355 to 774 of the family's 1533-position model. The record is from RNAcentral. RNAcentral also lists the same sequence under 2 other names.